Molecule: RNA transcript, 314 nt
Organism: Zea mays
Lineage: Eukaryota; Viridiplantae; Streptophyta; Magnoliopsida; Poales; Poaceae
Exons: 2
Source: RefSeq, a predicted model, not a curated record
GGACAAUCUCUCCAGGUUGAUACACCCCUACUCCAUUACCCUCAGUUGCCCGCUUCAAUUGGCAAAGGCUUUGGACAAUCUCUCCAGGGAAGUGCAUCACAUCAAUUUGUUGGAGCCCUGAUGGUAAAAUAAUAGCACUUGGCACAGAAGAUGGUUUGAUUCUUCUGCAUGAUGUGGAGGUGUGUAUGUGGAUGAUGAUAAAAACUGUCGGUGUCUAUUGUAUCUUUGUAUGAACAUUCGUUUGUACUUCAUAGACACCUGAUCCAGUGCCUAUCUUCUCUUAAUAUUUUUCUAAUUGCUUAUUCUCAUUUUUA